AACGAACGCUGGCGGCAUGCCUAACACAUGCAAGUCGAACGAGAUCUUUCGGGGUCUAGUGGCGCACGGGUGCGUAACGCGUGGGAAUCUGCCUUGGGGUACGGAAUAACUCAGAGAAAUUUGAGCUAAUACCAUAUGAAGUCUUCGGACCAAAGAUUUAUCGCCCUGAGAUGAGCCCGCGUAGGAUUAGCUAGUUGGUGGGGUAAAGGCCUACCAAGGCGACGAUCCUUAGCUGGUCUGAGAGGAUGAUCAGCCACACUGGGACUGAGACACGGCCCAGACUCCUACGGGAGGCAGCAGUGGGGAAUAUUGGACAAUGGGCGCAAGCCUGAUCCAGCAAUGCCGCGUGAGUGAUGAAGGCCUUAGGGUUGUAAAGCUCUUUUACCCGGGAUGAUAAUGACAGUACCGGGAGAAUAAGCCCCGGCUAACUCCGUG
RNAcentral lists this ribosomal RNA (435 nucleotides) under uncultured bacterium. RNAcentral describes it as "partial 16S ribosomal RNA". It matches the Rfam family "Bacterial small subunit ribosomal RNA", at positions 29 to 507 of the family's 1533-position model. The record is from RNAcentral.